This 77-nucleotide transfer RNA is filed under the name bacterium. RNAcentral's name for it is "tRNA-Leu". RNAcentral also lists the same sequence under 4 other names. The record is from RNAcentral.
CCGGGAUUAGGAAAAUUGGUAAAUCCGCCCGCCUUAGAAGCGGUUUUUUCUCAGUUCGAGUCUGAGAUCCCGGACCA